Molecule: ribosomal RNA, 497 nt
Filed under: uncultured bacterium
Lineage: Bacteria
Description: partial 16S ribosomal RNA
Rfam family: Bacterial small subunit ribosomal RNA
Source: RNAcentral
GAUGAACGCUGGCGGCGUGCCUAAUACAUGCAAGUCGAGCGAACAGACGAGGAGCUUGCUCCUCUGACGUUAGCGGCGGACGGGUGAGUAACACGUGGAUAACCUACCUAUAAGACUGGGAUAACUUCGGGAAACCGGAGCUAAUACCGGAUAAUAUAUUGAACCGCAUGGUUCAAUAGUGAAAGACGGUUUUGCUGUCACUUAUAGAUGGAUUGCCGCCUCAUUACCUAGAUGGUAAGGUAACGGUUUACCAAGGCAACGAUCCUUAGCCAACCGAAAAGGGGAGCCGGCCAACAUGGAAUGGAACACGGGCCCCAACCCCUCAGGGAGGAAGAAGGAGGGAAUUUUCCCAAAGGGGCCAAAGCCCGACGGGGCAACCCGCGGGGGGGAAGGAAGGUCUUGGGACCGAAAAACUCUGUUAUUAGGGAAGAACAAAUGUGUAAGUAACUAUGCACGUCUUGACGGUACCUAAUCAGAAAGCCACGGCUAACUACGUG